AUUGAACGCUGGCGGAACGCCUAACACAUGCAAGUCGAGCGGAGUAGCAAUACUCAGCGGCGGACGGGUGAGGAAUACAUAGGAACUUGCCUUUAGGUGGGGGAUAGCUUGGGGAAACUCAAGGUAAUACCGCAUGAUCUCGCAAGAGCAAAGGGGCGCAAGUCUCGCCUUUAGAGAGGCCUAUAUCUGAUUAGCUAGUUGGCGGUGUAAUAGACCACCAAGGCGACGAUCAGUAACUGGUCUGAGAGGACGAUCAGUCAAACCGGAACUGAGACACGGUACGGAAUCGUGCGGGAGGCAGCAGUGGGGAAUAUUGGACAAUGUGCGAAAGCCUGAGCCAGCAAUGCCGCGUGUGUGAAGAAGGCCUUCGGGUUGUAAAUCACUUUAGUGAGGGAAGAAACAGCUUGGCCACACCAAGCCUUGACGGUACCUCAAGAAUAAGCACCGGCUAACUCUGUGCCAGCAGCCGCAGUAA
RNAcentral lists this ribosomal RNA (475 nucleotides) under uncultured bacterium. RNAcentral's name for it is "partial 16S ribosomal RNA". It matches the Rfam family "Bacterial small subunit ribosomal RNA", at positions 30 to 523 of the family's 1533-position model. The record is from RNAcentral.